RNAcentral lists this long non-coding RNA (6113 nucleotides) under Homo sapiens (human). Its description in RNAcentral is "HSALNT0392832". Lineage: Eukaryota; Metazoa; Chordata; Mammalia; Primates; Hominidae. The record is from RNAcentral.
AUGAAAGGAAAUGAAAAAGGAGAGACUGUAGGUAAGAGAGAAUAAAGAUGCCACAGUUUAAAAAAUUUCGCUGCAUUUAACAGAGUAAUAAGACUUAUCAGAGCCAGCAGACAGACAAGCUUUGAUUUUUUAAACAGCUUUCAUAUGCACUGAAAGCAGCGUAAUUGUUCACAUUGUUCUUCAAUAUUUUACUAAACCAUAUACAAGCUGGAUAGCACACCCAUGCCUGACCCUUUUCUAUGAGACUCUUCUCAAACAUUUUUUUUUUAGAAAAAUAUUAUUUUAUUAUCUCUAUUGGCUCCUGCUCUUUCUGCCAUUUAAAAACUUACUAACAGCACAAUAGCUAUCCCUAAGCCUUUAUCCAAAUUUGAUUUGCUGGAACAUUUUCCUCAGUUAUUUUUCAUAAACGAAGCAGUAAUUCCAUAACAUAUUAGUCCAAACACCUGGAAAACUGAGAUAAGCUCAUUUACCAUGCAUUUUUACCAGCAAUUGUUUUUUAACACAAUAGAGUUUUUUCCCCCUGCCUUUGGAAAUCUAAAUCUAGGUCACAUCUGGUAGGCAAAAGACUCCUUCUAAGCAAUUUAUUCACAAAGUGGAAGCGGCUGAUGAUCACACCACUGGCACCCACAUUUAAAAUCUGUUUAAAUGAGAUAACCAGGGUCUUACAGUGGUGGUGGCUGUCUUAGCUCCCCUUUCUCAUGUCUAAAACAUGAGACAUGUUUGUCCCGUUUACUACAAUGUAAUGGAAUGUCAAAUCCAUGUCUGAUGAAAUAUACGUUUCCUCUGCUAAGUGCAUUCAGGAUGAAAAAUAUUAGGAAUGCAAUGUUCAAUUCCCUAAAAAGACUCCUUUGUAAAAGGGCUUGUACUUUUAAAAUCAGAAUGUGAUGAUGCUCUGAGCCACACCACCCUUACUAGGUGACAGGUCAUUCCGAAUGGAGGAAUUUUAUGUCCAAAUUUUCCUCCUUAGAAUUUUCUUUUUGUGUUGGUAAAAAUGUAAUUAAAUCGGAGUGUUUGUAAACCAGCUCUUUCCACUCUGUCAUGAGGUUUUCCACUCCUACGUCACCUGACUCACGAAAACCUUAGUUGUCACUGUGUCUGAGCCCCCAAGACCAGGAGGACAAACUCUAAAAUGAGUUAUCACUGAGAAAGAGGGAGUGCCAGAUAUCACCUUCCAUCUGUUUUUUUGUGUCCUUUGGGAACACGUAAAUGAUGUUUCUUUCCAAAGUUAUUCCUGGUGAGAUUUUAUACAUGAGGCCCUGCAUUCUGAACAUGGCUGUAGUCAUUAGACUGACCCCAGGAAGUGAGUCAAGGUCAGGGAAGAAGCAAAUUGGAAGCUCGUCAGUGUUUCCAUGACAAAGCAUAUUCCAAUCAUUUGAGAGCCGCAACAGCAGCAGCCAUGAUGCAAAAAACACACCUUAUGAAAUAAAAACCCUUCUGAAGAAGCCUCUACAGGUCAAUUUUAUUUCUGACAAUGUCGAGAAUAAGUCCUGCUAUUUUGAUUCAAUGAAUAUCCCUCAAACUAGUUGUUCAGUUAAAUCUUUAAGGUAUUAAUGUUAAUUAUCCUUUAUGGUAAUUACAUCUGAAAUACACCACUCCAAUAUUCUAUUGGAACAUAUCACCAGGUGGCUGACUGGGAGGAAAUUGUCACAUUAAACAAAUUGCUAAGAAAAACCUAAAGAUAAAAUGUGUAUGUGGAUAAACAAAAUUUUUUUAAGUUAAAUAAGCAAUCUAUACAAAAAGAAGUAACAUUUGAAAUUCACGAAACUGAAAAAAGUCUGUUUUUCCAUUUUGAUUUUGUGUCCAAUUAAAACAAAUUUUUAAAAUAAAAUCAAAUUGGUUUUAUUCUUCCAAAUGUUGACAUACUGGAAAGCCAUUCCAUUUAUCUCACUAGUUAUAGAUAGCUGGCUCUCCAUGUAUAUUUCCUAAAUAGAUGAGUUAAGGUAUGUUUUGUAACUAAGUUAUGUCACUAAAUGCAACACUUGGGAAAAAAUGUUUAGAAAAACUUAUUUACCUUAAGACAUUUUAAUAUAAAAAUAGCACACAUGUAAUGCAUACAUUGUGAACACUCAGUAGAGGAGGGUCUGGCUCUGUGGGAACUGAUGAAUGACUAUUCUGCUUUGGGCCAAGGAGGGGUGGUUACCUGCAGCCUUUCAUCCCCUUUAGGAAGCAGCAUGCACAUUGCUAUGCAGCCUGUGGAAGCUCAGUAUUAUCAUUUCUUAGCACUGACUUUUAACUCAUUUCACAUUGCAGGUCAAGGGAAUGAAAUGUUCUAUCUUGGCCUGACACAGUUGCAACGUGAUGACGGUAGCAACCACGCUAAAUGGGACAGUGACUCAGAAAAGGUGGGAGGGCUGCCUGGGAGUGGCCAUCCGGUUGAGUCGGGUGUUUGGGUUUAGGACUCUGCAGAAGCAUCAGUGUAAACACAAACAGCCCUCGGAUAACCUGAUGGGUGGGUGUCACUGACUCCAGACCCCUUGCCCAGGAAGUUCCUGCUUUCCUGCCUGUGCCCUGUCCCUCUAUCCCUGCCUGAAAUGAACAUCUUUAGGCUCUCCUUAAAUAGGAUGCUCCUCUCUCCUCUUUUAUUGCUUUGGGAACAUGUGGUUCUGGUUAUGACCUGUCAGCGGGCCUUGGACAGGGGAUAUUUUUGACAGAACAUGGUUGCAACUGAUGGUUGUUUAUUUUUCCUCACCCAAAUCUAUGAAUUUAACAGUAUAAUUUCUAAACUGCUUGGCAAAAGAGUUGUUUUCAUUCUAUUUCCCCCUCGGUCUUGUUAUUUUCUUGCCAGGUUUCUCAUGGUAUAAACUUUUCCUUUUUUUCGUAUAAAUUUUAAUUGCUUAUUAAAAGGCAUUUUCUCUUCUUGUGUGUAUUCUGUUAGGACAGCAGUGUGCAUUUAGUUCCUUUUGAAGAGAAUAAACUUGCAUGUGUCCAUUUAUCAGUGGAUAUUAUCUAGGCCUGCUACUGUAUCGUAUUCAUUGCACUGGUGAAUAAGCUAAAUAUUACAGGGAGAUUAAGAGACUGCUAAAAUCAUAGAGCAUAAUCCUCACAGAUGCCCAGUCUACUGACUCCUAGUGAUAACGCUGGUUAUUAUUUUUAUAAUGGCCAAGAAAAUAAAAAAGAGUGGUAUUCCAGUCAAAUUGCAUUAAGAUUUCAGUUAUAACAUCUAGUAUGUAAAACAAACAAACAAACAAACAAACAAAAAAACUCAAAACAAAUGGAAUGAUUAACCAAUGCAGUAUUUAGCUGGUUUUCAACUUGGCAGAAAACAAUUCCACUUUGGCCCAGUGUUCAACAUUAAAUUAAAUAACAGCAGCAAGCCAGGCUGAGAACACGAUGUACUCAGCCACUGGCUUGAGGUCUGGGCCCAAUUUUGACUACUGAACUGGCUGCACAAAUUUUCCCAGAAGAUCCAAGGGUACAAGCCCAGAAGGCCAUGAAGGCUGUCAGUGGUGCCCAGAGCUACUGACCAUGCUGCCCACAGCACGGGCUGCUUUCACCCCGAGUGAACGGGAAGCUUUCCCAAAGGGAGGGGAGUGGCAGGGUUAGGAAGAGCCGCAGGGACAGCUCAGCUGCAGAACUUUGCACGGUGGUGACUAGUACGAGGUUGACCUUGAAUGUGGAGGAAAAAAAUCCAGCAAUAUUCUUCAUUUAUUCAACAAGCAUUUAUUGAGUAGCUAACUGCUUGCCAAGCACUGUUUAAGGAAUACAGUGGUGAGCAGAUGGACAAAACAAAAACUUCUGACCUCAUGGAACUUAAAUCCUUGUGGGGAAGACAGACACCAAGCGAUCCAAUUUCCAUCAUUGAUUGCACUAUUUGAAAAGAUCCUUUUAUACAAUGAAGAGGCAAACGUGGUGGAAUCAAAUCCUCAUUUAUGACUAGCCCCAGUAUGUAGAGAUUGGAAGACACUCUGAAUUGUAAAGGAAUUUAAAGUAUAUUGAUCAACUGCCUGGGUGCUACUAAAUAAGAUAGGAAGGAAGAAAACUAAUCUUUUUGAAGACCUACUUUAUAUGCUGGGUAACUUAUAUAAUUUUUAUUUAAUAUUAUACCAUGAAGUAUAAUUAAUACCAGUUUACAAAUGAGGAAACUGAAGCAACAGAAGCCAUCAAGAUAAACAGCUUGUCCUAAGUCAGUGAAAGAGAAGGAAUGGUGCUAUACUCUGAACCCAGGGUGUCUGACUGUGAAGCUGACUCCUAUUUCAUUGCACUACAGCAUUCCCCAAUAUAAUACAGAAAACUCAAGUGGUUAUUGCUCAUGCUAUGGAAUACAAGACUCAAGUUAAAAGUGAUCUUGGUCAGUUGUAAAGAGGAGGGCCUAACAAAAGAAUGAAAAAGGAAAGAAUGAAAAAGGAAAGAAUGAACAAUUCAAUAAGGAACUAAUAAUUCCGAAAGAAAAACAAGAGGAGAAAGGACUUCCUGGCCAAAGUGCAGAAAAGAAAGAUCUGGUAAUAUGAUCAAUACAAUUCUGAAAUGUAUGAGAGUAAUGGCAUGCACAUAAUCCUGGAGCAUGAUAUACUAGUCAUCAUGUGGAUGAGGAAAAGGAAUCAAAGAAAAGAAGCACAAAUGAUCAACGAGGUAAAAAAGAAGGACUACGAAGAAGGAUAAAAGGAACUAGGGUCAUUUAUCUAAUGCAGGAGAAGGCAAGCAGGUGACCUGCCAUCGGAGCUUCCCAAGAGUAAAGAUCAUUUCUUACCACCUUUGCUGUCUAGUGAUUAACAGUCUCUUUAACACGGUGGGCAUUUGACAAGCCUUUACUGAACGGAUAUUGUAAAAGACACAAGAAGCAUUUGUAAAGAGAACAAUAACCAUGAGUGGUCUGUGUAUAGAUGGAGAAAAAUAUUUUUGAACAUAUAAGUGUAAAAGCAGGAGUUCAAGUUUGUACAGAGAAAGGCUGAGAGAGGCUUUCCCCUGUCUAUGCACAAUGUAGUCAGUAUUCAGUAAAAGAGCAAGUAAAUGAAUUUUGGUUGUAUUCAGUCCAUGAAACUGGAAUAAAUUACAAAGGAGGUUUAUUCCGCCCUUGGGUUAAAGAAUUGUCAUCUGACACUAGAGAGGUCAGUUAUUACUGUCCUUCCCAAUCUCUAACAAGUCUAAAAAUGCUACAUAUUUUUUUCUUUAUUCUCACUGCCAUCUAUUUCUCUUCUGGAUUUUUAUGCCUGACUCCCAAGUAGAUACCUUAGCCAGUGUCUUUGACAUAGUGCAGCCGUAUGGAUCUUCCUAAAUAAUAGCUCCAAUCAAGUCACUCUUUCAUUUAAAAAAACAAAAUCAAAUCCAAGAGCUUCUAAAUGAUUAUUUCAAAAGGCCUUCCAUGAGCUAACUCCAACCCCCUUUCCUAAUAUUAUGCCACCCUCCUUUCUGAAAUACACCAAACGGAAAUGCCCAGUUUCCCCAAACCCUCAAUAUUUCCCUUCCCAAGGCCUUUGCUCCUGCUGCAUAGGAGCUUUCCCUACUCAAUUUGUGUAGGUUCAAAUCCUAUCCAUCUUCAAAGGCCACACAUUCCAACUACUGCUCCUAAUUGCUUUGCAGAAAAGUAUUCUCUCUCCUGCUGAACUCCUAGAGCACCUUGCUUGUCCCCUCUUGCACAGAACUUAACUAUUUUCAAACUCAAGUUCAGUUAUUUUGGUAAAUCUUUAUGUCAUACACUAAACAUAAAUUCCUUGAGACAAAAGUAGUCUUACUCAUCUUUGUGGCCCUCACAUGCUAAGAAAGAAGGAAGAUGUUUGAACAUGAGCUCCACUGAGGAUGCCAAGAGAUGGCCAGGAAGAAAAGAAGGGUUUUUCUUAGUAUGGUGAUGACAGAUGAGAGUCUACUGUGGUUUGAAUGUCCUCUGCAAAAUUCAUGUUGCAAAUUUAGUUGCCAUUGUAAGAGUCAGUAUUAAGAGGUGGAGUCCUUAAGAGAUGAUUAAGUCAUGAGGUCAGAGUUCUCAUGAAUGGAUUAAUGUCAUUAUUGUGGAAGUGGGUUUCUGAUAAAAGGAUGAGUUUGGUCUGAUUUCUCCUCUCUGUCUCUCUUGCUUGCUUCUGCCUUCUGUCAUGAGAUGACCCUACCAGAUACCAGCAAAAUGCUCUUGGAUUGCCCAGCCUCCAGAACCAUGAGUCAAAUAAAUUUUUAUUGUUUAUAAAUGA